UACGUAGGGACCGAGCGUUGUCCGGAUUCAUUGGGCGUAAAGAGCUCGUAGGCGGCUGCUCAAGUCGAAUGUGAAACCUCGAGGCUUAACCUCGAGCCUGCAUUCGAUACUGGGCGGCUAGAGUCUGGUAGGGGGAUCUGGAAUUCCUGGUGUAGCGGUGAAAUGCGCAGAUAUCAGGAGGAACACCGGUGGCGAAGGCGGGUCUCUGGGCCGAUAUUGACGCUGAGGAGCGAAAGCGUGGGGAGCGAACAGG
This 253-nucleotide ribosomal RNA is filed under the name uncultured bacterium. Its description in RNAcentral is "partial 16S ribosomal RNA". It matches the Rfam family "Bacterial small subunit ribosomal RNA", at positions 524 to 776 of the family's 1533-position model. The record is from RNAcentral.